AGGUAAGUCUUUACAACUUAGCUGGUGGUCAAGACUUUAACAUUUAAGAGCACCAGGGAAUUUUGGAAAGGCUCAUGAACUUGGAGUCAUGGGAUGAGUUGACUGGCAUCUGGCCAUUGCAGCUGCUGUUUUGCUAAGCCCUAAUCAAUCCAAAUUGAAGAUUCUCAUUUUGUCCAAUAAGGGAUCUCACAGAGGCUUCUAGGACAGAAGAGCCUUCUAAACACCGAGCUAGCUCUGGCAAUGCAUGUGUCAAUCUCAUUAACACUCUGGACAUCCCUGGAAAGUAUACUGCCAAAGUGAGCAAACUUAUCACUAUUUGUUGUAACUGAUGGUUCCACAUAUAGAAAGAUAUAUCUAGAUAUAAAGAUAUAGAUAGAUAGAUAGAUAGAAUAUUUAUUAAAUUAUUUUCCAGUCACCAGAUAUAGUCUCUUGUAGUUUUCUUUAAUUCUUCUUUCUCCUUAGCCUUUGGCAACUGAUCAAUCACCAUCUUUCAUUGACUCUGUUCUUUCUUUUUCCUUUCCUCUCCUAGUUAUCACCUUUGUUACUGUUCAGGCUUUUUUUUUUUUUUUUUUUUUUUCCCAUUCAUGUUUGUGACCUCAUUUUGGAGUUUUCUUGGCAAAGACACUGAAGUGGUUUGCCAUUUCCUUCUCCAGAUCAUUUUACAGAUGAUAAAACUGAGGCAAACAGUAUUAAGUGACUUGUCCAGUGUCACACAGCUAGUAUUUGUCUGAGGCCAUCUUUGAGCUUAGGAAGGUAAGGCUUCCUGAUCUAGGACCUCACACCUGAAUUAUUAAACUAUAGAUUGAGAAUGAAAAGAAUCCUAUCUUACAUUCCCUAUCUCUGGGGAAUGGAACAUUUAGAAUGAUCUAAAAGAAUGAAUGAAAUUUAAUUAUCAAAUAAGUACCUGGCUAAUGCCAAAUGAGUGAUAUAAUCAGUCAACAAACACUUAUUAAAUAUUAUUAUGUGCAGGUGGUUGACUCAGUGUAUAAAGCACUAAUCCUGAGGUCAUGAAGUUCAAAUCCAACCUCAGUCACUUAUUAGCUGUGUGACAGUGAGCACGUGACAACCUCUGUCUGCCUCAGUUUCCUCGACUGUAAAAUCGGGAUAAUAAUAGCAGCUACCUACCAGAAUUAUUCUGAAAGUCAAAUGAGAUAAUUGCAGUAACUGCCUGACUUGCCUGUUGCCACCAGUCAUGUAUUUAUUUACAUUCAUAAUUAACUUUGCUUUAUAUUUGUCUUUCCUCUCCAAUUAGUUUAUAUAAUCUUCCUGAGGGCAGAAAUUGCCCAUGAUAUGCUUCUUUUUAUCAUCCACAGUGCUUAACACUGCAUCCUUCAAAUAGCAGAUGGUUCAUAGAUUCUUGUGAUUGAUCUAAAAAACACUUCAUGCUCUUCUCUUUCCCUUUUUGCAGAAAUUGAGGGGGAGACCCAUAGGUGUAAAAAGUUGCAUAUUUCCUGCAGGCAUGUUGGUUGAUUGUCUUUUCUACUGUUUUUGUUUUUGUUUUUUUCUUUUUCUCUGUUAUAGGGAAUGAUUUAUUGGCUAAGAAGAUUGAUUCAGAAAAGAAAGUGAUGUAAAAACAAUAAGAUAUCAAUAAAAAUAAAAAGCAUUACAUAAGGAAUGAACAAAUUAUGCUUUAUAGUUUGAAUAUUUCAAUCUUUUCAUAAUAUUUCUCCCAUAGUUGAGAGAGCUUCAAGACCCAUAAUAGGGGACUGACAAUAAGUGAAAGCCAGCCCCCUUCCAUCUUCCUUGGGAACAAAACACCCACCUGGCUCUACCUCCUACAUCCUGGAGCGUAAGUGGGUGGGCUAUGCCAGAUACAGCAAUUCUGAACUGUUUCAAAAUCCUUCUGUGUACUGGGAGUAUGAAGUGGAGCUUCCCCCCACCCAAGUUUCCUAGCAGCUUCCUGAUGCACAGCCCACAUGCUCUGCUGUUGAGGGGAGAGGAGAGCUGCUCCAACAGUCAUUUUAUUAAGGACUGGUCAUUUAAAAAGCAGGUACCAAUUAACUUACUAGGCUAGCGUGUGCUUUCAUUGCCCUAAUUGGCUUCCCCACUGCAGUGACAGAGCAGAAUGGGACUUUACAUUCCCUAGGCUUUAGAAAAGAAGAAAAGGGGUUUUAGGAGGUUGCUGAUAAAGCUGCCUUUAGGAUUCUAUAUGAAUAUGAUUAAACAUCAGAGACAGAAAGACAGAAACAGAUAGACAGACAGAUAGAAGAGAAACAGAGACAGACAGAAAGAAACAAAGAGAGAUACUCACAAAGAGGCAGAGCAAAAUAGAUGGAAAGGUUAUGUUUUUUAGUGGUCUACCUAGCAUGUAAACAGAUUAAAUUUAUAUUGGAGGAAUUAAGGGAUUGUUGAAUUGGAGAAAUUGAUCCAUAACAGGACAAUCUUAAAAAAAUGCAAAGAUUUCAAAGGGAAAAAGAAAGAAAAUGCUCCCAUAUUCCAUCAGAACAAUUGAAGUUCUAGCAGGUUAUACCAGACUGGCAAGGCUUACAGUAUUGGUUCAGGGAGGAACAUUUGACUUGACUCAGGAGAAAGAUCAGCUAAGUUCAGAAGGGUUCAUCAACAAGAAGUUGGUCAUUGGAGAUGAGUUUUUUGGCCACAGCCCAUGGAAAGGUUGGGAGUAUCAACCUGAAUGGAAUUAUUAGUCUUUCUAAAUGUUUCUUUUCAGAUAUUUUGACAUUUUUCAGUGAGUGCCUUGUUAGCCCCAAUAGGCACAAAAGCAAAGCAACAAGAUUUUGGGAAGUUAAACAUAUUAAUUUUUUAAGAUAGCACCAUGGUUCAUUGAAACAAAUAUAGAUCUAGAAGGAAGGACACCUGAAUUUGUGCUGAAAAAGAUCACAAAAGUUGUGCUGUCCAAUCCCUUCAUUGUACCCAUGAGUAAACUGAAAUGGGGAGGGGAGGGAAAGGGAAGGAAAAGAAAAGGAAGUGAAGAGAGAAAAAGAAGAGAGAGGAGGAAAGGGAAGAAAAGCAAAGAGGAGAGAAUGGAAGGAUAGAAGAGAGGAAAGGAGAGGUGAGAAGAGGAGAGAGAAGAAAAAAAGGGAAGAGGAGAGGAGAUGAAAGAAAAGGAAAGAAAAGAAAAAAGAGAAAAGAAAAGAAAAGAGGGAGGAAGGGAAAAGAGACAGUAGAGGGAUGGGAAGAAGAAGAGAGGAGAGAAGAAAAGAAAUUGAGUUAAAGGCCACUCACCCAAAGUCACAUAGGCAGUUAGUGGAGGAGAAUUGAGAUUUCAGCCCAGAUACUGACUCUCAAUCUAGCACUUUCCACUUCGGCUCUAAGCUGAGAUCUGUAGCUCCAUAACCAAGGGUGUGAUUCAUGUCAUUCUAUAGCCACAGGCCUCUCUCUAACAUCAAUGGAACCAGCCUGCUCAUUUCUUGGGGCCUCUGUGCUCUCAUCCAUAAAAUGACUGGGGUCAGUCUAGCUGAUCUGUCUGUAAAGUCCCUUCUAUGAAUGUUCGUAAAACAUAGUUUUGUGCUCAUAAACAUAGUCUUGUGACUUCCAGUCAAACAGGUUUUUACUUAAUUCAGACUCGGGAGUUGAACACUAAGAAUAACAUUUCCAUUUUCCUCAUUAAGAAAGUUAAUAAUGAGUCCAUUAAAAGAUUCUGAAAGUUUCUUUGUGCUUACAAAAACACUUGGUUCUGUGGUGCUUUCUUCACAAGCAAAAUAGAUCAUUAACAAAAAUUCUUGAGUUCAUGCUCAAAUAGUGAUAAAAACAUCAGAUAAGAACUUAAUAAAGAAAGAAAAGAGAAUCAUAGAUUUAGAGCUGGAGAUUUUAGAGGUCAUCUGAUGCAACUCCCUCUUUUCACAGAUAAGGAAACUAAGACACAAAGAAGGUAAGUGGCCCAGCCAAGGUCAGACACAUAGAAAAGCAAUAAGUAGGAAGUCAAAUAAGAAAAACCUCCAAAAAGGAUUCCUACUCCUGGCUCUACCACUAACCAGUAAUUAUUAGUUACUGUGUCAUUAGUCACCUCCCUGUAAUAUCCAUACCAUGCCAUUUUUACCCUGACCACCAUCUCUACCUCUGCCCCAGGAACUUUGGACUUCAUAUCUUAUAUUCCAUACUUAAAUGAUAGGCUCAUUUUUACCUAAUCUUAACAGGAUGCUUCCCUUUACUUCUAGACCAUCUCUAUCAAUGAAUGCCCUCACAAUUCCAGCUUUCAUCUCCACCAUCUUCUCUCCUUUCCAGCUCCCCAUUUAUCUGUUGUCUUUCCUCAUUAGAAUGCAAGUUCCUUGAGGGCAAAAGCCAACUUCAUUUCUUAUAAUGAUACCCCCUCCCCCCCCAGUACUUAGCACAGUUCCUGGCAGAUAGUAAGAAUUUUAUGAAUGAUUGUUAUCUAUCUAUAUUCAUUUAUCAUCUAUCUCUCUAUCCAGCCAUCUAUCCAUCUAUCUACCUAUCCACUUACCAUAUAACUAUCCAUUCAUGUAUCAAUCCAUUUGUCCAUCAUCCAUCCAUCCAUCCAUCAUUAUCUAUCUAUCCAUCUAUAUCCUCUAACUAUUCAUCCAUCUACAAUCUAUAUUUCAUUCAUCUAAUUAUCUAUCCAUUAAUCUAUUAUCCAUUUAUUAUCUGUCUCUAUCUAUCCAUUUAUCUAUCUGAUCUUGGGCAAAUAACUUCUUCUCUUUUGAGUCUCAGAUUUUUCCCUCUAUAAAAUAAGGAUUAUGUCCCCUCUCAGAACCCUUCUACUCCUAAAUUCUUUGAUUCCAUUAAAUAAUGAUUUCAAGAGACACUAUGCAGUUGCCUUUGGAAUAAAGAUAUUUUAUAGCAAAUAUUUGUAAAUCAGUGUUUUUUGAGUGUCGAAGGAGAAAUUUCACUAGGAAAGGGAAAAUUCUUAAAAAAAAAAAAAAUCCAAGGGAAAAAAUGUUUUCACAUUGGUUAAUCUUUUAGUUCCUGGAAUUUCUGCUGCUUAGAUGUUUACAUCCUGGAAGGAAAGUUCUUGGGUUUUUUUUUUUUUCCCCUUUUCUUUCUUUUUUUUUGUGAUACCAGAUCUCUUUGUUUACAAAAUCAACACACUUCAAAAGAACCUUUAGUCCCAAGAAUAGAGACCAGAAAAGAAAAUUCCUGGAUUCCACAAGUGUCAACACAGCAAAAAUAAAAGAAAAGACAGUAGACAUAUCUUUUUAAAUAAUAAAAUCAAAACAGCUUUUCUUCUUGCCACAGCCAGUGAUUCUAUUCAAAUGGUUUAUUAAAACACAUGUAUGUGCAACAACAACAACACAACUUUCUAUUUAUAAGCUCUACAAUCACAUCAUGUCAAGGUCACAGUGCACACUAAGAAAAUGAA
Molecule: long non-coding RNA, 5272 nt
Organism: Antechinus flavipes (yellow-footed antechinus)
Lineage: Eukaryota; Metazoa; Chordata; Mammalia; Dasyuromorphia; Dasyuridae
Exons: 3
Source: RefSeq, a predicted model, not a curated record